UCCGGUUUGUCACCGGCAGUCUCCUUAGAGUGCCCACCUUAACGUGCUGGUAACUAACAACAGGGGUUGCGCUCGUUAUAGGACUUAACCUGACACCUCACGGCACGAGCUGACGACAACCAUGCAGCACCUUGUAAAUUGUCUUGCGAAAGUCCUGUUUCCAAAACGGUCAAUCUACAUUUAAGCCUUGGUAAGGUUCCUCGCGUAUCAUCGAAUUAAACCACAUGCUCCACCGCUUGUGCGGGCCCCCGUCAAUUCCUUUGAGUUUCAGGCUUGCGCCCGUACUCCCCAGGUGGGAUACUUAUCACUUUCGCUUAGCCACUGAACUUGCGCCCAACAGCUAGUAUCCAUCGUUUACGGCGUGGACUAC
Molecule: unclassified non-coding RNA, 370 nt
Filed under: uncultured Flavobacteriaceae bacterium
Lineage: Bacteria; Pseudomonadati; Bacteroidota; Flavobacteriia; Flavobacteriales; Flavobacteriaceae
Description: contains 16S-23S intergenic spacer region
Source: RNAcentral